UAGGGUCUUUGACUCUUCAACCCACCGUGCUCUAAAGACACUUACUGCUGAGGCGGGCCGCUCGCUCGGGGAGCUGCAGCCUGUUUUUACAGGUGGUCCGCCGAAGCAACCUUUUAAUUCUUUACUGAACAACCACAAAAACUUUCUAAAUGAAAAAUCA
This 160-nucleotide unclassified non-coding RNA is filed under the name soil metagenome. RNAcentral's name for it is "partial internal transcribed spacer 1". The record is from RNAcentral.